This 891-nucleotide long non-coding RNA is filed under the name Mus musculus (house mouse). RNAcentral's name for it is "predicted gene, 33111". Lineage: Eukaryota; Metazoa; Chordata; Mammalia; Rodentia; Muridae. The record is from RNAcentral.
AGAAACAGAAGUGUAGAUAAGAGAUGUGUCCCAGGGCUGACGCAAUACAAAUUUCAAGGCUGUGGAACCAGGAGAAGGUCUGAGGAACGGAGCUCCCGGAAGUAAAGGCAUUGCCUCACAUUUGAGUGCAUGAGGAGAAGUAAGGAAGAUUCUAUCACACUCUUGCUGUCAAUGGUUACAAGCCAUAGCUCAGAACACCUGGCAACAGUACUUAAGGAAGGAAAGGUUUGCACUGGCCCGCAGUCUGAAGGAGGACAGAGGACACAAGGCAAUGAGAGCAGCUCUAGGUGUAGCCGUGGGAGCCCGAUAUAGCUGGACGCGCUGCAUCUGAAGCAUGACUUCAGGAUUUGUGGUCAGAAGCACGAGGUGGAGAAGUCCUGAUACAAUCUUUGUACUGUACGGUUGCCGUCUGGACUUCAUUGACUAUCCCGGAGCGAUCCAGCACAAGUGACAAGUGAAGACCUUGGCUGUGUUUCAGAAGCACAAUUACAACUCUUGGGGUAAAGAGCCUCAGCGACAAGGCCCAGGAAAGCAGGUGUAUUGAGAAUUAGAGAGACUCGGAGCGGGCCCCAGAGGAGAGGUAGGGAGUGGUCCUGGCAGCUGUUGGAUGAAGCAGGAUUCAUCAUGUUUGAAAGAUUCUUCUCGGGGUGUUAUACCCCAAGAGACUGUUGUUCACCGAGUGGAAUACAGCAUCCAAGACCCUAUGAGGGCCUGAGACUCUCAGAGGAAAUUUCUUAUAACACGAUAUUUUUCUCCCAGUUCCCCCAGUAAAGCUUCGCUACUCAAAUGAUCGUUAGCUUGAGAGACCCUGUAGAGCAGGCCUUACCACCUCUGCAAACAGACUCAAAAGGUUAAGAUGGUGCUUGAGAGCCAGACGGCCAAGGGUCUGCA